UCUGUGAUGCCCUUAGAUGUUCUGGGCUGCACGCGCGCUACACUGAUGGAUGCAGCGAGUUUGAGUCUGAUUCGGAAGGAUUGGGAAAUCUUGUGCAAGUCCAUCGUGCUGGGGAUAGACCAUUGCAAUUAUUGGUCUUCAACGAGGAAUUCCUAGUAAAUGCAUGUCAUUAUUGCGCGUUGAUUACGUCCCUGCCCUUUGUACACACCGCCCGUCGCUACUACCGAUUGAAUGGCUUAGUGAGGCCUCUGGAUGCUGGGGGUUGCCGAGAGGCGCCUUUGGGAGAAACUGGACAAACUUGGUCAUUUAGAGGAAGUAA
Molecule: ribosomal RNA, 319 nt
Filed under: uncultured eukaryote
Lineage: Eukaryota
Description: bacterial SSU rRNA
Rfam family: Eukaryotic small subunit ribosomal RNA
Source: RNAcentral